Long non-coding RNA from Helianthus annuus (common sunflower), 1002 nucleotides. RefSeq lists it as uncharacterized. Lineage: Eukaryota; Viridiplantae; Streptophyta; Magnoliopsida; Asterales; Asteraceae. The transcript is spliced from 4 exons. The record is from RefSeq and is a predicted model, not a curated record.
UCGGUGGCAAAAGCCACCUACCCUUUCUCUCUUAAUCUCUUACACGUGCUCUCUCUUGAUACAUUUAUGCUUUUUCUUCCAGAUCUUUCUUCAUCUGCUCUAACUAUCUGCCUUUCUUCCCAUCGAUUCACUGCUCACUUGAUCCAUCGUCUUCACCGCUGCAUCAUCUUUUCAUAUUCUUUGUGCAGGAUUGGACGCUUCUGUCUACACCGUCGCUUUACCGUAUGCCUAAUGUUGUUUUGCUAGAAGAUUGUGUUGGUUGCUGGUUGUUGUGCAGGAAUGCAUUUUCGAGUUUAUCAGCUUUAUCACUAGCGAACGAAUAUGAUUCAGACCUGUCUUGCGUCUCUGAAACCCGCUGAUUCAUGUGGCAGUUGCAUCAUCCCCGUUCCUUUCAAACAAUCACAUCUAAAAUCAGCAAGAAAUGAUCGUGAUCAUCAUGAAUCUUCGAUCCAAUUUUCUACAAUAAUGAGAUUUGUCACAGUUACAGUUGCUAGAAGAUGGUCGAGGUUCGGCUAACGCAAUUUUGGACUUAGGUGUUUUGGGGGCCAACCAACCGGUGCCUAAGUUACCCGUUUUGACCCGCUGCCGAACGGUCCCAUUUUACCACCUCCAUUGUUUGACAAAUACCCCACAGGCGUGGGUUUGUUCCCGCAUGUAGAUACCCAUUCAACAUUUGAGGGCUCAAUUUAUAGCCUUUCAUUAUUAGGAUCUUGCAUUGUGGAGUUUAGAGCAUCUGUUGGUGUUAGAGAUACAAGUAGUCCAAAUUUCGUUAGGAAGGCUAUUUAUCUUCCCGUUCAAUCAAUGAUCUUACUUUCUGGAGCAGGAAGAUAUGCUUGGCAACAUUAUAUCCCCCACCAACACCAAUAAGGUACUUUAUGUAAGUUUUUAGCUUUUAUUUGCAUUUUUUGUGAUAUAUUGCUGCUAUGUAACAAUGCAAUCAUGUCACACCCCGAUUUCCACGUGUCUCACCGGUGGGCCCGGUGGGGGAUUACCGUGACGAUG